This 393-nucleotide ribosomal RNA is filed under the name Triticum aestivum (bread wheat). RNAcentral describes it as "partial small subunit ribosomal RNA". The record is from RNAcentral. Lineage: Eukaryota; Viridiplantae; Streptophyta; Magnoliopsida; Poales; Poaceae.
AUGGUUCGCUCCCACAUAAAGAGAUGGAUAUUCGAUGUGUUUAGCAUAGUGACACUUUUUUGGUGCCGAAACAUCCCCAAUCCCUUUGGUCAUUUCGCUUUUCGUGCCGGCCUGUAUUUGGAGUUUCUUGGAUUUGCAGUGAUGCCUUUCUCCUUCUUUUUGGUGACGUCGGAUGCCCGCCUUUGGCGCUUAGAAGUGGAUUCUCCUUCAAAGAGGGCUUUUCCCAAGAAAGGGACAUGGUUGUACUGGAUUUCUAGUCCUAUAGAGGAAUAGCAGAUAGGAUCACACCUACACGUAAGUUCGUUCGUUGGGUUAGUGGCCACCCGCACUCCAACCUAUCUAUAUGGCAACAAAGCGAAUGACAAGGCCAAAGUAGCUGACUCUUAUCGCUAA